UACGAAGGGGGCUAGCGUUGCUCGGAAUCACUGGGCGUAAAGCGCACGUAGGCGGAUUGUUAAGUCGGGGGUGAAAUCCUGGAGCUCAACUCCAGAACUGCCUUCGAUACUGGCGAUCUCGAGUCCGGGAGAGGUGAGUGGAGCUCCGAGUGUAGAGGUGAAAUUCGUAGAUAUUCGGAAGAACACCAGUGGCGAAGGCGGCUCACUGGCCCGGUACUGACGCUGAGGUGCGAAAGCGUGGGGAGCAAACAGG
RNAcentral lists this ribosomal RNA (253 nucleotides) under uncultured bacterium. Its description in RNAcentral is "partial 16S ribosomal RNA". It matches the Rfam family "Bacterial small subunit ribosomal RNA", at positions 524 to 776 of the family's 1533-position model. The record is from RNAcentral.